ACGGCUGCUCAGUAACACGUAGUCAACUUACCCUAUGGACGAGGAUAAUCUCGGGAAACUGAGCAUAAUACUCGAUAGAUCAUAAUGCCUGGAAUGGUUUAUGGUUGAAAUGAUUCGUCGCCAUAGGAUGGGACUGCGGCCUAUCAGCUUGUUGGUGAGGUAAUGGCCCACCAAGGCGAUUACAGGUACGGGCUCUGAGAGGAGAAGCCCGGAGAUGGGUACUGAGACAAGGACCCAGGCCCUAUGGGGCGCAGCAGGCGAGAAAACUUUGCAAUGUGCGAAAGCACGACAAGGUUAAUCCGAGUGAUUUCUGCUAAAGAAAUCUUUUGCAAGUCAUAAAACCACUAGUGAAUAAGGGGUGGGCAAGUCCUGGUGUCAGCCGCCGCGGUAAAACCAGCACCUCAAGUGGUCAGGAGGAUUAUUGGGCCUAAAGCAUCCGUAGCCGGCUCUGUAAGUUUUCGGUUAAAUCCAUGUGCUCAACGCAUGGGCUGCCGAAAAUACUGCAUAGCUAGGGAGUGGGAGAGGUAGACGGUACUCGGUAGGAAGGGGUAAAAUCCUUUGAUCUAUCGAUGACCACCUGUGGCGAAGGCGGUCUACCAGAACACGUUCGACGGUGAGGGAUGAAAGCUGGGGGAGCAAACCGGAUUAGAUACCCGGGUAGUCCCAGCUGUAAACGAUGCAGACUCGAUGAUGCAUUGGCAUAUAGCCAGUGCAGUGUCGCAGGGAAGCCGUUAAGUCUGCCGCCUGGGAAGUACGUACGCAAGUAUGAAACUUAAAGGAAUUGGCGGGGGAGCAG
This 796-nucleotide ribosomal RNA is filed under the name uncultured marine thaumarchaeote. RNAcentral's name for it is "bacterial SSU rRNA". It matches the Rfam family "Archaeal small subunit ribosomal RNA", at positions 82 to 879 of the family's 1478-position model. The record is from RNAcentral. Lineage: Archaea; Thermoproteati; Nitrososphaerota.